GUUGGCAGAAAGCAAAUACUGUCAUAGAAUAAGGGCAGAAGAGCACAAGUUAACACUGUAGCUUAGAACACAAGGCUGAUUGUUGUAGCAGUAGGUAGAACACCUGAAAUCCAUAAAUCUGCAUUUCCAUCAGGUCUGCCCAAUUUUAAAAUACAGCAGUUCUGAGGUAGCAUAGAAUAAUUAAACAUACAUUUCAGUCCCCACUGUAGUUAGAGGUACUGCAAUUGCUGAAGAGACCCAAACUGUUACAACUCCCCCUAAACAAACAGUACAGGACAAAGAGCUGAAGGAAGAGGGCUAGUUGCAGUGUGCAGGCUCUCUCACCUUUACUGUCUGUUUUUCUAGAGGCUUUAGCAUUUAAGAUUUAGCUAAAGCUAAAUCCCUGCUUUAGCUUUACACCUGUGUUGGCUUGCAGUGUAGCAGUACAAAAUAAUUCCCUGGCUGCAGCUGCUUCUUUCAGUCAUCAGUUUUAUUUGAAUGUUACAUUCUGUAUGAAGUAAACAGCCCCCUCUCCACACUUGAACAGUUGGAACACAGUUGAUAACCCUUUCCUAGUACAACCACACCUUGAUCCACUACUCCAACUUACAGGGCAGUGAAGUUAAAAUAUUUAACAUUCUCAAUUAUUACAAGAAAUAGGAGUGUUUAAGAGCAUUUAAGAGCUGUCCUUUUCUUUCUUGCAAGAGACUUGCAGCAACAUCACAUCAGGACCUGGGAGAAAAAAAAAAUAGUUAGCACCAUAACUCAAGAGAAAGAAAAGCACUUUGCCUUCUGCCUUCCUAUAGGCUGAAGGAACUUAACUUUGUAACAUGGUGCCAAUGUAACAGCAGUAAGGCAGGCACACAUAUAUACGUCCCUUACUAAACUCUUUAGGGGCAAAAUCAUUUUGCAUGGUAGCUCUGAUUAGUUUCCUAUAUGCACUCUAUCCAUAAUAUUCCAUUUCAACACUACUGUCCACUUCCUCACCUACUUGGGAUUAUCUGUUUCCAUGCAGUUUCAAGAACAUGCCAUACACCCAAGCAGAAAAAAAAGCAUUAAAAGAUACAAGAACUACUCAUCAUGCCACAACUGUAUGAAUAUUCUCUUCCAACCCCACGUGCUGCUGAAGUCAGCUGCUUGCAGAUGAAAUCAGUAGCAUUCUGCCUGCAUUAGCAAUUCAAGAAGUGACAGGGCAGAAGCUACAGGUGGUUUCUCAUUCCAAGCAGCAAUAUAACUUAAGAAUUGUCUCCUCUGAAAUAGACCACAGCACACACAAAGUGGCUACAGCAUCCUGCUGAAAGGAGUUCAAUGUACGGUCACUGCGUUAAGAGCUGCUGGUUCUCCAGCCAUGCAAACCCUCUUUGAAGCGACCUUGAAUUUCUUGUGGGUACCAGCACUGCUGCUAAGCAUCUUACCUACAGACUUACUGUGGCAGCACUCAGGUACAACUUCUCACCCCCUGACAUUCAGUGACAGCAGCGGACUCUGGGUACACAAAGGCACAGUAGUUAGUAUAAAAGAGUUAAACUGAAGUUGGAUGCCAAGUGCAAGGAGCAGCCUUUCAUUCUCCAUUUUGAACGCAUGACAGUUCUGUCAACAGCAGCUUCUGGAGCUUGAGUUCAACAGCUGAAGAUUCUAGCUAGCACUUUGGUUCCUUGGCAGCCAAAGAGAGCCGCUAACACCCAGCAGAAGGGAGUGCUGUGUCUGUGGCCUACACCAAAGCUUUAUUCCCAGCAGACCUACUGCCACACAACGCAGCAAUUCAAGAGUCUGAUGGACUUGCUAUAUGGUCAUGUCCACAGCUCACCAGGAACAGCAAUAUCCUUGCAGCCUUGGUAAUGACCAGAUCCUCUCUCCCUUUACCACUGCUUUUACAAGCAUUUAAGACUAGCCUGCAGGUAGACACCCUGACCCAGAUACUGCCAAAAUCUGGAGUGCUGCCCAGGACUGCCUGCUACUGGACAGUCAUUUCUAUGUUUCUAGACAGUUUAUGGAAGUUUUGAUCUUCUAGAGUCAUACAUUAGCAACCGAGCUUCCAUCAAGUUGCCUGAAACCUUCUGAACUGAGAACUCAGUGCUUACCUGUCCAACACUUUGUUUCCUCUUCCACAGCCAACUGACUGUUGUGUAUCCCAAGGCACCUGUUUUAAAGAAACAAACUGAGCACGAGGGAGAACCAGUGGGCAGCUCACACUGACAAGUCCUACCCGACAUAAAAGGACUGCGCUCAAAUCCUUGAAGAGGGCAGCACCUGUAUCAGCAAGAAUACCAGGUUUAACAACCACUGCAGAGUGAAAACCAACGAUGCCAAAUGCUGAAUUACUGUAGCACUGGUUUUUGAACACCCCAUCAGAAGAACGCUGCUGGGUGCAGAUACCAUUCAGUGCAACAGACGCAGCAGUCCUCAGUCAACAAAUGCACGUUAAGGUUCAAGCUGUCCAUACACCAGGCAGCGAUAAGCUGAAGUACCAAUUUCACAGAAGUUGCCAUGCAACGAAGAGGGAAAAGAAAUUCCAUCAAUUUCAGCAGCCUCGUAAUUCUUUCAAGUAUUUAUAUUCCCAGCACAAAGGGCUUAUAGAAGCAUUGUCUGCGUUUUACUUUAAGCUAUGUUCUAUAGAAUAGCACAAUGCUCCAUACAACCCAGGACUUCUGACACUGUACUAGUAAACUGCCUGAGAUGCUCAGCUACUUUGAAGCUUAGCAGGAGAAAAGCAGUAUUGCUGAAUUACAUAGAGCAAAAAUCCGGCAGGCUCAUUGAAUUACUUUAAGACUGGACAGACAUCAGAGGGCUGGACUUCUUAAUUUAAACCUAUAGCCACCACAAGGAACAGAAAGUCACUUUCAGAUUGAAGUGGGAAGAGUCUGCUUCAAGCCAACCAGGAAAAAAAAAAGCCACUAAGAGGUCUGGUACCUUCACAGACAUCUGGCUGAAGAGCAAGUUCAACCCACACAAUUAAACAUGUUAGUUACAUUUUAAAUCUCAGAACAUGCUCUUUUUCACUCUUACCAAGCUUUUCCAUUUGAAUCUUUUUUUUUCCAUUUAUAUCAAAUGCAUGAGCCAGUACCUGAGGGAGAACAUGACAUGUUACUUCCAUUCCUGAAAUGGGACAUGAAGAUUUGUCUUGUAGUUCUAUCCCACAGAGCUAACAGGUAGCUCCAAGGGUAAAACUAAACCACAAGUUUGUUCUGUGAGGCGUUUCCAACGACAUGAACCUACAGAAGAGAUCCUAUCGGGAUAGACCUCAACAUUUCUGUGACCAUAAACUAAUGCAACAAAAAUCAAGCAGACUGGAAAAGCAUCUCAUACAGUUCCUAUAAAGUUCCUUCUUCUGUCAUGACUUUUGGGGGAAAAGGGAGGGAAAUGUUACACUACCAUUUCAUUUGGAAGAUGCAGCAGUAACUCCACAUCAGCAACAGUUUCAUGUUAAAAGCUAACAUUACAUGAACAAUAUAAAACUGAGAGAAUUAACUACAAUGUUUAUUCAAACACUAACUUCUCUAAGUACUCAUUUACUUUUAAAGUAAAGCCCAAGUUUGGCAAGUUAAGCUCAUCAUUUCAGACUGUGAGAUCUUUCUUGGGAUAUAUCAAAGUUAAAGACUUACAGACUGAAAGGGAACACUACCUUAAAAUAUACUGACAUAACAUUGAGCUCUGUCCCUGUAACACUCCCAAAGGCACUGAGCUUCAUCAGGUGAACAGCUCCAGCCACUGAAAACCAGAGCCCCUCAAACACCAAUGCAUUUGCAGAAGCUCAGAUGGCAUACUAACCUAUAAGGGAGCUCCUGUCUCUGUCAAGUGGCUUUCUGCAUUUCUUCUCUCAUUUCCUCAUCACCUGCCACUAAGGCACUCCUCUGGUCUGCACUGUCACGUGGGCUUGCUGAAAAGAAGAGUAGAUCACAGUAUCUGAUUAACAGUUUUAAGUUUCUUCAGCAUUUUAGUAAUUUCAAGUACUCUCAACAUUGAAUAAGCAGCACUUCUUUCAGGAUCAGUCUGUCACAGAACUAUCAACCAAAUCCACCCACACUGCAGAAAUCAAAGCGCUAUGGCACAGAUGGUGCACAUGAGAGUGUUACCUACAUCAGCUGGCACUGUGGUGUAAAGAAACUGUAAGACAGCACCUUAAGACAGCUUCUAAGUGUGCUUUGAUGAACUAUUUACAGAAUUCAGCACUGUGUGUUUUUCUUCUACUUCCCACAGCCAGCAGGAUGCAGAAUGCUGCAAGAUAUGGUUUAGUAGCUUAGUGGAUAGUAAUGGUGAUAGGAUGGUUGGACUGAAAGGUUGUGGGUCCUUUCCAACCUUGUGAUUCUAUGAAUUCACGAAUUCACAACGCCAAACAUGCCAAUCCUUCAGACUUUAAAGAGUAACUACAUUUGGAACCACGUUUGCACAAUUCUCUCACUACAUAAACCUGUCACAGGUCUCAUUGUCACCACUGCAAUGGGUGUUACAGUGAGGAAAGCACAACCUGUUGCUCUUCUAGCCCCGUUCUUCAAUUGAGACACACAUGGAGUUGUGUCUACCUGCUGAAUAACAAGGCGUAACAAUUAACUCUUCACUACACCUGCAGAACAGCUUGUAGUAAAGCCCAGCCAAUCAUCUCUAACAUGGACACAUCACUAACUGCCUUCUGGGAACUGGCUUUGUCCUUCCACAUGAAAUAUUUCUUUGGGGAAAAAAACCACAGAACAGCUAAACCUUCAGCUUACAGUCCUCACACAACAACCACCCCAUAGGAAAAAAACUUCCUCAGAUAUUCCUCCACUUCAAGAAACAUUAAAGAACAACAUCAACUUAAUUGCACUUUUAUCACAUCACUUGUCCAACAGUUCCCCCUGCUGUGUUUGUCAAGCUCCACCAAAGCCUCUCUGAGAAGGCACAGACCCAAGUUCUCUCAUACCAAAACUCAGCAGAAACAAAGCAUACCUCCUUAACCAGUGUAUUCCACAGGAGCGCAUGGAAGUAACAGAUCUGUGCACCAGCUGGAAGAAUUCAAACAGAUCAAAACGGUUACAAUAGCUCAUUGCUGCAGAGCUAGAAAAGAUGUAGUCCAGUUGCAUUGUUUCCUUCCUACAUUUCUGCACAUGCAAUAAGAAAUGAGCCCUUUGAAUUAAUUACUGCUUGAAUAAAUAUAAGCACUGUCCCUUCAUAUAAGUAACACAGCCAAUACAUGCAUCAGCUGUGGGUUGCGAAAGAAGGUGUUUUUCUAAGCACCAGGUUCCAGGUUUUUGUCUACAGCACCAGACAAAAACUGAACACGUGCUGAAACAGAAUGCAUCUGCUUCCCUCUUAUUUUUCACUGUUUUUGAAACAGUAUUUGAAGAGCACACAGAAGUAAAGGUAUUUCUCAGUCAACUAUAUACUUACUCCAUAACUGUCACCAUCCAUUACUGGGCCUCCUGUUUUUAAGAGACAGGUAUGAUUUGGGCUAUGGUAACAGGCACAACAAGCUCAGUAUGACUAUCAGAUACUGUUGUAAGAACAAUAUACACUGUGUUGAGUUGACACAUCAUCUACUCCAGUAGCUUUACUGCAACAAAAGCUGAAAGCAGAUGCCCCAGUUUGAUCCUCUUACAAGGAAACAUGCUUAUUUUCAUUACUGGUGUAGCUGUACCUCUUGGCUCCCCCUGUUAAAAAGUAACCCUGAAGUUUUUCUUCUACCCUAUUUCCUAGACCCUCCGGAAGGUCUGAUAACAUCUGAUAACACACAGAUCAUCCCUUUGUGAGAAGCUCCACAGCUUUAGCAGUAACAUCCAAGACCACCUCCUGACAUUCCUUCCUCCUGCAGUUUUACC
This 5771-nucleotide long non-coding RNA is filed under the name Gallus gallus (chicken). The record is from RNAcentral. Lineage: Eukaryota; Metazoa; Chordata; Aves; Galliformes; Phasianidae.